CUCUAAUACCUGUAAUGUAAUGCCAACCCAGAAACCAUCUCUUUAAAAUAACCCUCUCUGUGCUAAAUUACUAAAUAAUGAAUCAGCAAUGAUACCAGGGAUGGAAUCUCCCCCCCUCCCUGAACCACUGACACACUGCAUCCACUACACUGACACACACUCUGCAUUCACUACACUAAAACACUACAUCCACUACACUGACACACACUCUGCAUUCACUACACUAACACACCCUCUGCAUUCACUACACUGACACACACUCUGCAUUCACUACACUAAAACACUGCAUCCACUACACUGACACACACUCUGCAUUCACUACACUGACACACACUCUGCAUCUACUAAACUAACACACCCUCUGCAUUCACUACUCUGACACACCCUCUGCAUUCACUACACUGACACACACUCUGCAUUCACUACACUAAAACACUGCAUCCACUACACUGACACACACUCUGCAUUCACUACACUGACACACACUCUGCAUCUACUAAACUAACACACCCUCUGCAUUCACUACUCUGACACACCCUCUGCAUUCACUACACUGACACACACUCUGCAUUCACUACACUGACACACACUCUGCAUUCACUACACUGAGACACUGCAUCCACUACACUGACACACACUCUGCAUUCACUACACUAACACACCCUCUGCAUUCACUACACUGACACACACUCUGCAUUCACUACACUAACACACUGCAUCCACUACACUGACACACACUCUGCAUUCACUACACUAACACACCCUCUGCAUCCACUACACUGACACACACUCUGCAUUCACUACACUGACACACACACUGCAUCCACUACACCGACACACACUCUGCAUCCACUACACUGACACACACUCUGCAUUCACUACACUGACACACACUCUGCAUUCACUACACUGACACACACACUGCAUCCACUACACUGACACACACUCUGCAUUCACUACACUGACACACACUCUGCAUUCACUACACUGACUCACUCUGCCUUCACUACACUGACACACACUCUGCAUUCACUACACUAAAACACUGCAUCCACUAUACACACACACACUCUGCAUCCACUACACUGACACACUGCAUUCACUACACUGACACACACUCUGCAUUAACUAUACACACAGCAUCCACUACACAAACAUCCUGUAUUCACGGUACACACACUACAUCCACCACACAUUCAAACACUCUGCAUUCACUAUACAGAGACACUGCGUCUAAUACACACACAACAUCCACUACAGACACUACAUCCACUAAACACAUUGCGUCUAAUACACACAAACACCAAAUCCAUUACACUAACACACACUACAUCACUGUACACACACUACAUCCACUACUCAAACACACUCUACAUUUACUAUACACAUUGCAUCCGCUACACAAACACACACUCUGCAUUCACUGCACAAACAUUAUCUAAUACACACAAACACUACAUCCAUUACACACAUUCUAAUUAACUUCCACUAUACACACCACAUUCAGUCGUGCAUCACUGACAGCGGACUAGGUAGGAGUCCUGUGGGCGGUCUCGUGGGUGGGGGGGCACACCUUGUGCUUUGUCAGGGGCCCCAAAGUUUCUGAUGGCAGCCCUGCAGGUCUGUGUCUUAUAAUAUCCUGGG
Molecule: long non-coding RNA, 1644 nt
Filed under: Pelobates cultripes (western spadefoot toad)
Lineage: Eukaryota; Metazoa; Chordata; Amphibia; Anura; Pelobatidae
Source: RNAcentral